This 325-nucleotide ribosomal RNA is filed under the name Klebsiella pneumoniae. RNAcentral's name for it is "partial 23S ribosomal RNA". It matches the Rfam family "Bacterial large subunit ribosomal RNA", at positions 2618 to 2925 of the family's 2925-position model. Lineage: Bacteria; Pseudomonadati; Pseudomonadota; Gammaproteobacteria; Enterobacterales; Enterobacteriaceae. The record is from RNAcentral.
GUCGUGAGACAGUUCGGUCCCUAUCUGCCGUGGGCGCUGGAGAAUUGAGGGGGGCUGCUCCUAGUACGAGAGGACCGGAGUGGACGCAUCACUGGUGUUCGGGUUGUCAUGCCAAUGGCACUGCCCGGUAGCUAAAUGCGGAAGAGAUAAGUGCUGAAAGCAUCUAAGCACGAAACUUGCCCCGAGAUGAGUUCUCCCUGAGACUAUAAGUCUCCUGAAGGAACGUUAAAGACGAUGACGUUGAUAGGCCGGGUGUGUAAGCGCAGCGAUGCGUUGAGCUAACCGGUACUAAUGAACCGUGAGGCUUAACCUUACAACGCCGAAG